RNAcentral lists this ribosomal RNA (497 nucleotides) under uncultured bacterium. Its description in RNAcentral is "partial 16S ribosomal RNA". It matches the Rfam family "Bacterial small subunit ribosomal RNA", at positions 28 to 507 of the family's 1533-position model. The record is from RNAcentral.
GAUGAACGCUGGCGGCGUGCCUAAUACAUGCAAGUCGAGCGAACGGACGAUAAUCUUGCUUCUCUGAUGUUAGCGGCGGACGGGUGAGUAACACGUGUAUAACCUACCUAUAAUACUGGUAUAACUUCGGGAAACCGGAGCUAAUACCGGAUAAUAUUUUGAACCGCAUGGUUCAAAAGUGAAAGACGGUCUUGCUGUCACUUAUAGAUGGAUCCGCGCUGCAUUAGCUAGUUGUUAAGGUAACGGCUUACCAAGGCAACGAUGCAUAGCCGACCUGAGGGGGUGAUAGGCCACACGGGAACUGAGACAGCGUCAAGGCUACUACGGGAGGCAGCAGUAGGGAAUGUUACGCAAUGGGCGAAAGCAUGACGGAGCAACGCGGAGUGAGAGAUGAAGGUCUUCGGAUCGUAAAAAUCUGUUAUUAGGGAAGAACAUAUGUGUAAGUAAAUGUGCACAUAUUGACGGUAACUAAUCAGAAAGCCACGGCUAACUACGUG